UAGUUAACCGCAAUAGUAUAGUGGUUCUACUCGUCCCUUUCUUUUCCUCCCACCCCCAAGAAAAAAAGGUA
This 71-nucleotide transfer RNA is filed under the name Fragaria chiloensis. Its description in RNAcentral is "tRNA-Gly". The record is from RNAcentral. Lineage: Eukaryota; Viridiplantae; Streptophyta; Magnoliopsida; Rosales; Rosaceae.